Molecule: non-coding RNA, 2387 nt
Organism: Meleagris gallopavo (turkey)
Lineage: Eukaryota; Metazoa; Chordata; Aves; Galliformes; Phasianidae
Source: RefSeq, a predicted model, not a curated record
UAUGCCAAGCCUGUGUGAGAUCACUAAGUCAUUAAGGGUGAAAAAGAUCACUAAGAUCAUCUGGUUCAUCCACCAGCCGAUCCCCACUAUGCCUACUAACCCAUAUCCCACAGUACCACACCUACCCUGUUCUUGAACACCUCUAAGGACGGUGACUACACCACCUCCCUGGACAGUCUAUACCAAUGCCUUACAUCUUUUUCUAAGAAUUAUUAUUUCCUAAUAUCCAACCUGAAAUCUCAUCUGGGGAGUAAUGCUGUGAAGGAUCUUCUGGAAGCUGCGCAUUUCCAAUUUUUCCUUUCCUAGUUCUGUGCCCUGCAUCUCUUUUGAAAGCAAAUACUGGCUCCAACUUCAUAGGCAAAUCAAAUAUGCUUUAUGAUUUGAUAACAUACCUUGGAAGCACUCUGUUACUCCCUACUAUAAUAAAAAUGAAGUGCAAAAUUCUAAGGAUAAAAAUUGAGAGAAUCUCAUUCAUUCAUUCAUACAUAGUUAAGCAUUGCUUCCAUUAACUGUUAUUUUGAUGCAGAUUUUUGCUAUGUUUUGCUCUGGUUUGCUUUUGGCAGAAUUGCAGUGUAAAAGUGUGAUGAUAGCAUGUGUCAUAUGCGUCAUAUAGCGUAUGUAUCAUAUGUAUCAUAUGUAAUGUUGGAUUGAAAUCCUAAUUCAGAUGAAAUGAUGCUGCCUGUCUCAGCUGACUGUAGCUGAGGAGCUCAGCCUGGCAUUCAGCUAGAGCUAUUGCUGUCACUGAUGCCAGAAUUUUCCAGUAGGCUGCUGGUGUGUAAGCAUGUGUCAGCAUACCUCAUAGAUGCCUGGAACACUCUUUUAUCUCAGCCUAGAGAGAUGUUGCUUCUCCAGCCAAGAAGAGGACUGGGCAGAGGCUGCUCACCUGAUACUCCCUAUUCAGCACCCAUUUCCCUGAGGCCCCAAGCUCUGAUAGGCAGCAGAUUGCCUCUCUGCUGGUGUGUUCAAAUGCCUGCAGUGCAGGAACCAGUAUUCACGUAGCUGACUUAGCUGAAGAAAAAGGAUUAUUUGAUUCACCCUACGCAGUACGACUGGUCAAAAUUAUCUGUGGCUGAACUCCUCCUCACUCAGCAUCUCCUAGGUGACAGUGAUUGCAUGUACUCCAACAUAUUUUAAAAUAAAAUAUCCCAUGGUUACAAUUACCAGUUGAAUUAUGAGGAAAAUAGUGGUGUUCAGUAUCUCACAUAAAGAACUCCAGGAGACCAUUGGGACUGUAAAUACUGCGCUUGUUAAUCCAAAUCAAAAAGACCCACAUGGGACAGAAUUUCAAGUGCUGGAUGCAAUAUUUUCAUUUAUAUGUCUAUUUGAGCAGUGCAAAACAUCACUGGAGCUGGUUUGGAGUAGGGUUACAAAAAAAGGAAAAAGACAUUCAAAAAUAUCCUAGGACAAAAAAAUACCAUUUUGAGUCUUCUGAUGGAUCUUCCCAGGACUGCUGAAAAAUCAGGAUCUUCUAGAAGUAAAUUACUCAUUACAGGAAGAACAGAAGUAUUGCCUUACUUCUAGUAGUGGGCAUAUAAAUCUAACUGAAGCAAGCACUCAUAAAGCAAAAGGCAGCUGGGAUGUGCAUAAACGUGAGCCCGUGGGUUUGGUGACACAUAGCAAAGUGGUGCUGACAGUACAGGAGUAUUGGGACAAGCAGGAAGAAUAAUGAUUUCUUGCUGCUGCUGAGACAUAGCUGGAGCAUGAACAUGGAGAAGGGAUAAGAGACGUGUUCAGACAGAAGGCCAUUUACCAGCUCUGCAAACUGUACUCUGCUAACUAACUGCCACGUAAACAAAGCAGAGGCUUGCAUAUGGUAGAUGAGAUGUUUGCAGUGCAACUGGGAGCUGUGCUCGGCUCCUGCCCAGGCACCACCUAUUGGUCAUGUAUCUGUGGAUGCUUAUUGCACUUCCCUAAAAUCAUGUUCUACAUCACUAGAACAUGCACCAUUUCUAUUUUGUGGUUUCCAAUCAGGAUAAAGAGGAAUGACAAAAACAAUUGCAAAAACAAUUGGUUCAUUUUUAAAAAUGUUGAAGAUUUGAAAGAGUUGUUAUUAAUUAGAUGCUCUGGCAAAGUAGGGCCGUGCAUUACCUGUUGCAAGCUCAUUUUCAACAUAAAAGCACUAAUGGCAUGAAGUACAGCCACUGACUCUUGUUAAGAAAAAAUUAGAUGGUGACAUCCAGCCUGGCAGAACUCUGAUGCUAACUGUCCUAUGACUGAGGCAUGCAGGCUGGGAGUAGCUCAGCUGAACUCCAGAGGAGUAGAGUACUACACUACUCAGCACUUGUGAUGCAACACACCUGUGUUCAUCCCUCAGUGCAAGAAAGACACUGAGGCCCUGGAGUGUGUCCAGAGAUGGACAAUGAAGCUGAUGAGGGGUCUGAAGCACA